CUUCACCGGGGCGCCCGCCGGCGGUCAACCGAAAGAAACUCUCUUGUCCUCCAGGGCGUCUCUGAGUCUUGUAUCAAACAAGUCAAAACUUUCAACAACGGAUCUCUUGGUUCUGGCAUCGAUGAAGAACGCAGCGAAAUGCGAUAAGUAAUGUGAAUUGCAGAAUUCAGUGAAUCAUCGAAUCUUUGAACGCACAUUGCGCCCGCCAGCAUUCUGGCGGGCAUGCCUGUUCGAGCGUCAUUUCAACCAUCAAGCCCGGCUUGUGUUGGGACCCUGCGGCUGCCCGCAGGCCCCGAAAUCCAGUGGCGGUCUCGCUGUCACCCCGAGCGCAGUAGGUAUCAUACAUCCUCGCUCAGGGCCGUGACGGCGGGCUCCGGCCGUUAAAGGGUGUGACGUACACACGCCUCCCACGCAAGGUUGACCUCGGAUCAGGUAGGAAUACCCGCUGAACUUAAGCAU
RNAcentral lists this ribosomal RNA (459 nucleotides) under fungal sp. 107A TTMM-2011. RNAcentral's name for it is "eukaryotic LSU rRNA". The stretch from base 87 to 240 matches the Rfam family "5.8S ribosomal RNA". Lineage: Eukaryota; Fungi. The record is from RNAcentral.